GAUUCCUAUGCUAACACGUGCGCGUGACACUACAUGUCUCUCGCGCCGCGUGGUAGCAUUAGAACC
Molecule: microRNA precursor, 66 nt
Filed under: Murid betaherpesvirus 1 (Murine cytomegalovirus)
Lineage: Duplodnaviria; Heunggongvirae; Peploviricota; Herviviricetes; Herpesvirales; Orthoherpesviridae
Description: microRNA mcmv-mir-m01 precursor (mcmv-mir-m01-4)
Gene: mcmv-mir-m01-4
Source: miRBase by way of RNAcentral